RNAcentral lists this long non-coding RNA (1253 nucleotides) under Homo sapiens (human). RNAcentral describes it as "HSALNT0184093". Lineage: Eukaryota; Metazoa; Chordata; Mammalia; Primates; Hominidae. The record is from RNAcentral.
AAUCCCAGCUACUCAGGAGACUGAGGCAGGAGAAUCACUUGAACCUGGGAGGCAGAGGUUGCAGUGAGCCGAGAUUGCACCACUGCACUCCAGCCUGGGUGAUAGAGUGAGACUACGUCUUGGAAAAAAAAAAACCUCUGGGAUAUGAAACAAAGGGAUGAUUUGAACACUGGAUCUAAUGGUCUGUAAGGACGGGAGAGCAAACCCUUUGUAAAUCAGGUGGCGUCCAGCUCCUGCCUCUCACCAAAAGAGAAGGUGGACCUGAGCACAUCAUUCGCUGAUUGAGAAUUAAAUACAAUGUUUGAUGACAGCGCUCUGUGAUUUUUAAAAAAUAACUCAGAAAGCACUCAAAUAAAUGAGUGACACUAUAACACAAUUCUUUCCAUUCUCAGCUACUCACUCAUAGAUACAAGAUUUUUUAGUACUAUUUAGAAAAAUAAGUCAGAAUAGAAUUAAUGCUGAAUUGUUCAUUCAAGAAAUAAGUAGGCCGGGUGCGGUGGCUCACGCCUGUAAUCCCAGCACUUUUGGAGGCCAAGGCGGGUGGAUCACCUGAGGUUGUGAGUUCCAGACCAGCCUGACCAACAUGGAGAAACCGCGUCUCUACUGAAAACACACACAAAAAAUUAGGCGGGCGGGGUGGCGCAUGCCUGUAAUCCCAGCUACUUGGGAGGCUGAGGCAGGAGAAUCGCUUGAACCCAGGAGGUGGAGGUUGCGGUGAGCUGAGAUUGAACCAUUGCCCUCCAGCCUGGGCAACAAGAGCAAAACUCCAUCUCAAAAAAAAAAAAGAAGUAAGUAAUAUUCAGUUAUGGAUAUAUGGAUAUAUAAACUAACUGAAAAGAAAAAACAGCACCAUCCAUCUCAUUAAGAUAUACAUUUUCCAUAAAUUUUAUAUUUUAAAUUUUUUAUUUUUGUGGCAAGAUUUCAUAUCUUUAAUUUUUCUAAGUAUCAAAAUUUUGCUGUAUUUAUGUUUUCUCUUCACCAUAAACACAAUUGUCUGGUCAAUUGUGUGUUAACAGUAGCUAUAAUAUAACUAAAUCCAAAAGAAAUAUUUUAAUAUUUAGAGCCUUAAGUGCACUGAAAAUUUACCAAAAAUUUUUAUUUUUAUACACAGGCAAAGGCAGAGAAGCACAGUAAGGCUACCGAUAAAACUUUUCUUUUUUUCCACCCAGGAGUUCAGUGGCGCAAUCACAGCUCACCACAGCCUCGACUUCCUGGGCUCAGGUGAUCCUCCCACCUCAGCCUCUUGAGUAGCU